Molecule: transfer RNA, 80 nt
Filed under: Weissella confusa
Lineage: Bacteria; Bacillati; Bacillota; Bacilli; Lactobacillales; Lactobacillaceae
Also listed under: 5 other names
Description: tRNA-OTHER
Rfam family: tRNA
About the family: Transfer RNA (tRNA) molecules are approximately 80 nucleotides in length.
Source: RNAcentral
GCUGACGUAGCUCAACGGUAGAGCGUCACCAUAGUCUCCGUUUCGACGUGAAGAUAGCAGUUCAAGUCUGUUCGUUAGCA